CCCGCCUUUGCAUUAUGUGACCAAAACAACUUAACGUUAUCUUUACUCCUUUCGUUUCUUUCCAGGGAGUAAUUAUUUCCUUGAUUUGUUUUUCCAACACCGCGGUUUUCCAGCACUCUUCCAGCUCUUCUGACUCUCCAACUCUCACUGGGGAUUUCUGAUGUGAUAAAUCUGCUUGUCCAGUGAGUCAGAGUUGAGCCAUAACGCACUGUCAGCUUGUGGCUGGAGAAGGAUGAUUCAUUGCAAUUGACUGCAGGCCACAAGCACUAUAAGUAGCCCGACUGUGGGAAGAAGCAAUGUUUGUAUGGCAGGAAGAUCCCCCAACUCAGUUCUUGAAUUCGAGAGGAAUUUUGAGGAAACAUGGAACAAGAUGCUCUUCCCAUCAUAACAACCCCCAUUAUAUUCUGUGGUUUUAGUUGUAGAGAAAAACAGUUUUGUGCCUUUUCUAAAUAUACUCAAGCUCUUUGCUGCAGAAUAUUGGUGGCUCCGCAAUAUGUGAGUAAACAUCCUUACAAUAAUAUGGAUACAUUUGUAUUAAAAACACAAUACAAUUAGGCUUAUGGCACAGAAUGUGAUUUGAUUGCCAGCAUUUGUCUUGGACAUCAGUGGGCAGUGGGUUGGGGCAACCUGCAUUGGGAAUUAUUGCUUGAAAACCAACCAGUUUGUGGUUUCAGCCAAUAGUUUUACUAUUUACUAACUAUAUUUUACUAAGGAAGUUUCUGGAUGAAAUCCUGCCUGAUACGGCCCACCCAGAGCCACCCAACAACACACCACCCGUGCCCAACGCUCUUGGGCCAGGGCAAAGGGGGCAUCAUAAGUGCAAUAGAAUAACCGAACCUAUACUUUUAGAAAAAAAUCAGCUAUUAAAGUCACCAGGGAUAGCGUUUUACUACCCAUGAUUAAGUGUUGCCUUGGGCAAGGAUUUCACCAUGCCUCGAGGCAGGAAUGGCACCAUUUUUCAUAUUGCACAAGGCACAGACUGGGGACCAACCUCUGCACCGGCUCCCUCCCCAUGCCGCCAAUUGUUCCUGCAAGCCGCUCAGUGCCCAAUAUCAUCUGGCAAGUUCCUCAGGGGUGGGGUUUAUUCAAGUCUCAGUAAAGUUACUUGACUGUCAGGGAUGGCGUUAGAAAUCUCUACAUAUACAUGUAUAACUUGCAAUCCUCCUACUGUAGUCAACAUUUUAUUUCCACUAAAAGUGGCUUUUCUGCAUUCACUCUGGACAUUAAUAACCCAAAGCAGCACCUAAAGAAGGUGGAAUUCCUGCCGAAUAAAUAUACCC
Long non-coding RNA from Xenopus tropicalis (tropical clawed frog), 1280 nucleotides. RefSeq lists it as uncharacterized. The record is from RefSeq and is a predicted model, not a curated record. The transcript is spliced from 3 exons. Lineage: Eukaryota; Metazoa; Chordata; Amphibia; Anura; Pipidae.